UCCUACGGGGGGCAGCAGUGAGGAAUAUUGGUCAAUGGGCGGGAGCCUGAACCAGCCAAGUCGCGUGAGGGAAGACGGUCCUAUGGAUUGUAAGCCUCUUUAGGCGGAGAGCAAUGCCGGGCACGUGUGCCCGGAGGGAGAGUACCCGCAGAAUAAGCAUCGGCUAACUCCGUGCCAGCAGCCGCGGUAAUACGGAGGAUGCGAGCGUUAUCCGGAUUUAUUGGGUUUAAAGGGUGCGUAGGCGGAUUUUUAAGUCAGCGGUACAAUGUCCGGGCUCAACCCGCGCCGGCCGUUGAAACUGGGGG
RNAcentral lists this ribosomal RNA (305 nucleotides) under uncultured bacterium. RNAcentral describes it as "bacterial SSU rRNA". It matches the Rfam family "Bacterial small subunit ribosomal RNA", at positions 337 to 639 of the family's 1533-position model. The record is from RNAcentral.